RNAcentral lists this ribosomal RNA (478 nucleotides) under uncultured bacterium. RNAcentral describes it as "partial 16S ribosomal RNA". It matches the Rfam family "Bacterial small subunit ribosomal RNA", at positions 28 to 507 of the family's 1533-position model. The record is from RNAcentral.
GAUGAUCGCUGGCGGCGUGCUUAACACAUGCAAGUCAAACGAGAAGUGAAGACGGAGACCUUCGGGCGGAAGGCUUUAUUUCGAGUGGCGGACGGGUGAGUAACGCGUGGGUAACCUGCCUCAUACAGGGGGAUAACAGUUGGAAACGACUGUUAAUACCGCAUAAGACCACAGCACCGCAUGGUGCGGGGGUAAAAACUCCGGUGGUAUGAGAUGGACCCGCGUUCGAUUAGCCAGUUGGCGGGGUAACGGCCCACCAAAGCGACGAUCGAUAGCCGAUCUGAGAGGAUGACCGGCCACGUUGGGACUGAGACACGGCCCAAACUCCUACGGGAGGCAGCAGUGGGGAAUAUUGCACAAUGGGGGAAACCCUGAUGCAGCGACGCCGCGUGAGUGAAGAAGUAUUUCGGUAUGUAAAGCUCUAUCAGCAGGGAAGAAAAUGACGGUACCUGAGUAAGAAGCCCCGGCUAACUACGUG